UACGUAGGGGGCAAGCGUUGUCCGGAAUCAUUGGGCGUAAAGCGCGCGUAGGCGGCCCGGUAAGUCCGUUGUGAAAGUCAAAGGCUCAACCUUUGAACGCCGAUGGAUACUGCCGGGCUAGAGUCCGGAAGAGGCGAGUGGAAUUCCUGGUGUAGCGGUGGAAUGCGCAGAUAUCAGGAGGAACACCAAUAGCGAAGGCAGCUCGCUGGGACGGUACUGACGCUGAGGCGCGAAAGCAUGGGGAGCGAACAGG
This 253-nucleotide ribosomal RNA is filed under the name uncultured bacterium. RNAcentral's name for it is "partial 16S ribosomal RNA". It matches the Rfam family "Bacterial small subunit ribosomal RNA", at positions 524 to 776 of the family's 1533-position model. The record is from RNAcentral.